GCUGGGGAGAAAGGGGUUUGGCA
Molecule: microRNA, 23 nt
Filed under: Mus musculus (house mouse)
Lineage: Eukaryota; Metazoa; Chordata; Mammalia; Rodentia; Muridae
Description: mmu-miR-6975-5p
Source: miRBase by way of RNAcentral